GGGGAUAUAGCUCAGUUGGUAGAGCAUCUGCUUUGCACGCAGGGUGUCAGCGGUUCGAAUCCGCUUAUCUCCA
Molecule: transfer RNA, 73 nt
Filed under: Chlorotetraedron incus
Lineage: Eukaryota; Viridiplantae; Chlorophyta; Chlorophyceae; Sphaeropleales; Neochloridaceae
Description: tRNA-Ala
Rfam family: tRNA
About the family: Transfer RNA (tRNA) molecules are approximately 80 nucleotides in length. Their secondary structure includes four short double-helical elements and three loops (D, anti-codon, and T loops). Further hydrogen bonds mediate the characteristic L-shaped molecular structure. tRNAs have two regions of fundamental functional importance: the anti-codon, which is responsible for specific mRNA codon recognition, and the 3' end, to which the tRNAs corresponding amino acid is attached (by aminoacyl-tRNA synthetases). tRNAs cope with the degeneracy of the genetic code in two manners: having more than one tRNA (with a specific anti-codon) for a particular amino acid; and 'wobble' base-pairing, i.e. permitting non-standard base-pairing at the 3rd anti-codon position.
Source: RNAcentral